AUUAAGCACUCCGCCUGGGGAGUACGGUCGCAAGACUGAAACUCAAAGGAAUUGACGGGGGCCCGCACAAGCGGGGGAGCAUGGGGUUUAAUUCGAAGCAACGCGAAAAACCUUACCAGGUCUUGACAUCCUCUGACAACCCUAGAGAUAGGGCUUCCCCUUCGGGGGCAGAGUGACAGGUGGUGCAUGGUUGUCGUCAGCUCGUGUCGUGAGAUGUUGGGUUAAGUCCCGCAACGAGCGCAACCCUUGAUCUUAGUUGCCAGCAUUCAGUUGGGCACUCUAAGGUGACUGCCGGUGACAAACCGGAGGAAGGUGGGGAUGACGUCAAAUCAUCAUGCCCCUUAUGACCUGGGCUACACACGUGCUACAAUGGGCAGAACAAAGGGCAGCGAAGCCGCGAGGCUAAGCCAAUCCCACAAAUCUGUUCUCAGUUCGGAUCGCAGUCUGCAACUCGACUGCGUGAAGCUGGAAUCGCUAGUAAUCGCGGAUCAGCAUGCCGCGGUGAAUACGUUCCCGGGCCUUGUACACACCGCCCGUCACACCACGAGAGUUUGUAACACCCGAAGUCGGUGAGGUAACCUUUUGGAGCCAGCCGCCGAAGGUGGGACAGAUGAUUGGGGUGAAGUCGUA
This 630-nucleotide ribosomal RNA is filed under the name Bacillus sp. (in: firmicutes). RNAcentral's name for it is "bacterial SSU rRNA". It matches the Rfam family "Bacterial small subunit ribosomal RNA", at positions 859 to 1490 of the family's 1533-position model. The record is from RNAcentral. Lineage: Bacteria; Bacillati; Bacillota; Bacilli; Caryophanales; Bacillaceae.